This 120-nucleotide ribosomal RNA is filed under the name Umezakia ovalisporum ILC-164. The record is from RNAcentral. Lineage: Bacteria; Bacillati; Cyanobacteriota; Cyanophyceae; Nostocales; Nodulariaceae.
UUCCUGGUGUCUAUGGCACGGUGGAACCACACUGAUACCUUCCCGAACUCAGAGGUGAAACGCCGCCGCGGCAACGAUAGUUUAGGGGUCGCCCUCUGCAACAAUAGCUCGAUGCCAGGU